AGAAGUUUCAGUAUCACUUGGUUAGUGAGUCGCCAUCGUCAUUAUGAAGCUGUUGAUGCUGCAGGUGCUCGCCACCGCCAUGGUGGCCGUUCAGGCUUGCAGAGAAAGGGGUGAAUGCCACGAACUGAUGCACGAUGUGAUGCACAAGGAAAACAUGAUGGAAAUCAUAGGAACCUGUAUGGAGGAAAAUGGAAUCGUCCCUGACC
This is a non-coding RNA of Penaeus vannamei (Pacific white shrimp), 206 nucleotides long. The record is from RefSeq and is a predicted model, not a curated record. Lineage: Eukaryota; Metazoa; Arthropoda; Malacostraca; Decapoda; Penaeidae.